CCCCUAGUAACUGCGAGUGAAGCGGGAAAAGCUCAAAUUUAAAAUCUGGCGGUCUCCGGCCGUCCGAGUUGUAGUCUGGAGAAGCGUUUUCCGCGUUGGACCGUGUACAAGUUUCCUGGAACGGAGCGUCGUAGAGGGUGAGAAUCCCGUCUUUGACACGGACCCCAAUGCUUUGUGAUGCGCUCUCAAAGAGUCGAGUUGUUUGGGAAUGCAGCUCAAAAUGGGUGGUGAAUUCCAUCUAAAGCUAAAUAUUGGCGAGAGACCGAUAGCGAACAAGUACCGUGAGGGAAAGAUGAAAAGCACUUUGGAAAGAGAGUUAAACAGUACGUGAAAUUGUUGAAAGGGAAACGCUUGAAGUCAGUCGCGUCGGCCGGGACUCAGCCUUGCAUUCGCUUGGUGUACUUUCCGGUCGACGGGCCAGCAUCAGUUUUGACCGCGGGAUAAAGGCGAGGGGAAUGUGGCUCUCUCGGGAGUGUUAUAGCCCUUUGUCAGAUGUCGCGGUUGGGACUGAGGAACUCAGCACGCCUUUAUGGCCGGGGUUCGCCCACGUACGUGCUUAGGAUGCUGGCGUAAUGGCUUUAAACGACCCGUCUUGAAACACGGACCAAGGAGUCUAACAUGCCUGCGAGUGUUCGGGUGGAAAACCCGUGCGCGUAAUGAAAGUGAAAGUUGGGAACCCUGGCGUGGGGUGCACCGACGCCCGGACCAGAACUUUUGUGACGGAUCUGCGGUAGAGCAUGUAUGUUGGGACCCGAAAGAUGGUGAACUAUGCCUGAAUAGGGUGAAGCCAGAGGAAACUCUGGUGGAGGCUCGUAGCGAUUCUGACGUGCAAAUCGAUCGUCAAAUUUGGGUAUAGGGGCGAAAGACUAAUCGA
This 874-nucleotide ribosomal RNA is filed under the name Aleurodiscus stratosus. RNAcentral describes it as "partial large subunit ribosomal RNA". It matches the Rfam family "Eukaryotic large subunit ribosomal RNA", at positions 77 to 938 of the family's 3401-position model. The record is from RNAcentral. Lineage: Eukaryota; Fungi; Basidiomycota; Agaricomycetes; Russulales; Stereaceae.